Molecule: ribosomal RNA, 216 nt
Filed under: Chaetoceros affinis
Lineage: Eukaryota; Bacillariophyta; Thalassiosirophyceae; Chaetocerotales; Chaetocerotaceae
Description: partial Bacterial small subunit ribosomal RNA
Rfam family: Bacterial small subunit ribosomal RNA
Source: RNAcentral
GAUAAGUUCUCCGCCUGGGGAGUACGGCCGCAAGGUUGAAACUCAAAGGAAUUGACGGGGGCCCGCACAAGCGGCGGAGCAUGCGGAUUAAUUCGAUGCAACGCGAAGAACCUUACCAAGGCUUGACAUACACCAGACCGUCCUGUAAACAGGUCCUCUUCUUUGAAGCUGGUGUACAGGUGGUGCAUGGUUUUCGUCAGCUCGUGUCGUGAGAUG